GGAGGAAAGAGGCGAGGCAAGAAGGCGACGCGAAGGAGACGGGGCGGCGCGGCGGGACGAGAGGGAAUGAAUGGGAGAAUUUAGAGGCAAGGUCAGAGGUCACCGGAAGCUCUCCCAGUCCUCCCUGGCAUGUAGGUUUCUGCUUUGUACACAGUAGGGCGUUACGUUUUCAGGGAUGUCUGCACCUGGCUAUGGGAAAUUUAUGGGUGCCCCCCAAGUCAGUCACGUUUCUGCAUUUUGACACCCGCCAGGGCCUUCUCACAUGGAAGUGGCCCAGUAGUCAUGUCCUUGGCAACAAGCAGACCUUGUCUGUGCCAGGAACAGACUGUGACAAGUGGCCGGAGAUACAGCUGGAGGGAUGGAAAGGAAUCCAGGAGCUGAGACGCCAAAUCCUCGCCACCACAGUCACCAGGCUGAUUCCAACUGUUGCAGCAGCAGGGAAAGGAUACUGAAGACUUCAAGCCCAGCAAGUAUCCUUAGGAUCAAAAGGUCUUGGCCACGUAUAAUUAUUCUGUGAAGGGGUCAGAAAUCUCAAUGUUCAGUCCAACAGUGACACUGCUAAGCAUCAUAAUUUGGUGAGUUAAUAUAUAACAUUCACAGAAGACACCCAUCAGUGUAAACUAACCAUCUCACAGUUUGGAGCAUUUUUGGAAUAUCUCUUAGGUCCAGAUUCUUGAAAACUUGGACUGUUCUAGCAAAAAUACAUCAUUUAAAUGUAAAAAUAAAUACGAAUAUUCAGUAAUGUAAUUAAUAGAUAAAUUAACAUAGCUUGUAGCUAGAUCCUUGCUCUCCAGUUGUGGCCUGUGACAUAUAUAUAUAUAUAGGGUGACAAGACAUCCCAGUUUGCCCAGGACUGAGGGAUUUCCCUGCAUUCAGAAUUUUCACUGCUAAAACCAGGAAGGUCUUAGGCAAACCAGAACAUGUUGGUCACUUUAUCCCUGAGUUGGUAGUAUUGACAUCCACUAGAAGAGCUGUUUGAACAUGCAGAACCUCAAACCCCACUCCAAGCCCAUAUUAACAAGAUCCCCAGCAGAGUCGGAUGCACGGUAAUGUCUGUCAUCUAUCAUGGAUUGAAUUGUGUCCUUUCAAAAGAUAUAUUGAAGUCCAGGCUAGAUACGGCUGAAGUCCUAAUCCCAGUACCUCAGAAUGUGAUCUUAUUUGGAAAUGGGGUUGUUACAGAUAUCAUUAAGACAAAGUCAUAGUGGAGUUGUGGGGGCCCUUAAUCCAAGCACUUUUAAGGGCUAAUAUCCUUAAGAGACAUAGGGAGAGGGUCAUAUGAAAACACAAAGACGCACAGGGAGAAGGCCAUUGUGACAAGAGAAGUAGAGGUCAAAGAGUGCCAAGGAUUGAUAGUCACCUCCAUAAGCUAGGAAGAGGCAAGGAAAGAUUCUACCCAGAGUCUCAGGAGAGGAUGGCCCUGCUGACACUUUGAUGUCAGACUCCUAGCCUCUAGAACUGUGAGAUAAUACAUUUCUGUUUUUUUUUAAAGCCACCCAGUUUGUGGUACUUUGUUACAGCAGCCACAGGAAACUAUCACGUGUCUAAGAUUCACUGAUCUAUAAUGCAUCAAUAUAUAACCACAGCUACCAUAUCACCAAGCAACUCACAGUAGCACCAUUUACAAUAGCCGAAAUGUGAAAACAUCCUAAAUAAAUGUCCAGUGACAAAUAGAUUAACAAAAUUUAUUUGGUGGCAUAUCUAUACUAUGGGAUAUUAUUCAUCCAUAAAAAGGGAUGAAGUACUGAUGCAUGAUACAACUUGGGUGAACCUUGAAAACAUUAUGCUGAGUGAAAGCCAGAUGCAAAAGGAUGCAUAUGUAUAAUUCUAUUUAUAUGAACUGUCAAGAACAGGCAAAUCCAUAGGCAGAUUAGUGGUUGCCAAGGGCUAACCCUAAUGGAGAGUCACUGCUUAAUGGGUAUGGGGUUUAUUCUUGUGGUAACGAAUAAAUCCUGGAGCUAGAUAGUAGUGAUGAUUAUGCAAUAGUGUGAAUGUACUUAAUGUUGCUGAAUUGUACACCUUAAAAUAGGUAAAAUGGUAAACUGUAUGUUAUGUGUAUUUUAUCACACACAAAAAUAAUAUGUAACCAUAGCAAGUCCAAGUGUCCUGUGGCCUGAAGGAAUGAUGUAGUUGGGGAGCUGAAGGAAGAACAGCAAGGCUCAGUAGCAGGAGGCCAAGAAGGUAUAGAGAAGGCUGGAGAGAGGUCAGCCCAUCCAGAUCUUUUUAGGUGACAUUAAGAAUUUUAAUCUUUUGCCUAAGAGUAAGAGAAGUGUUUACUUUCUAUUUGCUUCAAAUUCAGCAAGUAGUUCAAGGAAAACUGGACUGCUACCAAAGCAUCGAUAAUCCUACUGUCAGCCCCUCUAUCUGUUAUUCACAUAACAACACAGUGAUUUUGUUCAAACACAAACCAUUUCGUGUCACUCUUUGGCUUAAAAUUCUCUAGUGGCUUCCCGUCAAUGUACUUGGAAUCAAAUUUUAACUGUUUGCCCUGACUUACAAAGCAUAUAUGAGGCUGGGCGCAGUGGUUCAUGCCUGUAAUACCAGCAUUUUGGGAGGAUGAGGCAAGUAGAUUUCUUGAGCUCAGGAGUUCAAGAUGAGCCUGG
This is a long non-coding RNA of Aotus nancymaae (Ma's night monkey), 2600 nucleotides long. The record is from Ensembl. NCBI's taxonomy places the organism in Eukaryota, Metazoa, Chordata, Mammalia, Primates, Aotidae.